UUAAACGGAAGUUCGACGGGGCCGCGACAAGCGUGGAGCGAUGUGGUUUAAUUCGACGCAACGCGAAGAACCUUACCAGGCUUGACAUCCCCUGACCGCGUAUGAAAGUACGUUUUCACCUCGGGUGACAGGGAGACAGGUGGUGCAUGGUUGUCGUCAGCUCGUGUCGUGAGAUGUUGGGUUAAGUCCCGCAACGAGCGCAACCCCUACGUUUAGUUGCUAACGCGUGAAGGCGAGGCACUCUAGACGAACUGCCGUUGACAAAACGGAGGAAGGUGGGGAUGACGUCAAAUCAUCAUGCCCCUUAUGUUCUGGGCUACACACGUGCUACAAUGGCCGGUACAGACGGACGCAAAGCCGCGAGGUGGAGCAAAUCCUAAAAAGCCGGUCUCAGUUCGGAUUGCAGGCUGCAAUUCGCCUGCAUGAAGUCGGAAUCGCUAGUAAUCGCAGGUCAGCAUACUGCGGUGAAUACGUUCCCGGGCCUU
This 485-nucleotide ribosomal RNA is filed under the name uncultured Pelotomaculum sp. Its description in RNAcentral is "bacterial SSU rRNA". It matches the Rfam family "Bacterial small subunit ribosomal RNA", at positions 910 to 1382 of the family's 1533-position model. The record is from RNAcentral. Lineage: Bacteria; Bacillati; Bacillota; Clostridia; Eubacteriales; Desulfotomaculaceae.